UCCGGUCCCCGGGUGACCGCCGGCAGGCAAACAACGCCUGCGGGAGGAAAGUCCGGGCUCCACAGGGCAGGGUGGUGGGUAACGCCCACCGAUCGAGAGACCAGGGAAAGUGCCACAGAAAUAACACCGCCGGCCGGCCAGAUCAUCUGGCGACGGUAAGGGUGAAAUGGUGAGGUAAGAGCUCACCGCAGAGCGGGAAACCGCGCUGGCAAGGCAAACCCCACCCGGAGAAAGACUGAAUAGGAGAGUCGCGCUGCCCGCGCCCAGGCUCUCGGGUAGGUCGUUGGAGGGUGUCUGCGAGGACACCCCUAGAGAAAUGGUCACCGCUGCCAUGUUGCAGCACCAGAACCCGGCUUACGGGGAUCGGACUUC
RNAcentral lists this RNase P RNA (372 nucleotides) under Planctomycetota bacterium. RNAcentral's name for it is "RNase P RNA component class A". It matches the Rfam family "Bacterial RNase P class A". From Rfam's summary of the family: Ribonuclease P (RNase P) is a ubiquitous endoribonuclease, found in archaea, bacteria and eukarya as well as chloroplasts and mitochondria. Its best characterised activity is the generation of mature 5'-ends of tRNAs by cleaving the 5'-leader elements of precursor-tRNAs. Lineage: Bacteria; Pseudomonadati; Planctomycetota. The record is from RNAcentral.